GACGAACGCUGGCGGCGUGCUUAACACAUGCAAGUCGAACGGAAAGGCCCUGCUGGGGGGGGGUGCGCGGGGGACGAACGGGUAAGAAACACGUGAGUAACCUACCCUUGACUUUUAGAGAACGGCAAGUAGCGGGAGUUAAGACCAUAUAGUAGCGCCUCCUGCAGGGGGGGGGUUGGAAAGGGUGGGCGGUUGGGGAUGGACUCGCGGCUUAUCAGCUUGUGGGUGGGGGAGUGCCUUCCCAAGGCUGUGGCGGGUAGCCGGCGUGAGAGGGUGACCGGCCACUUGGGGAUUGAGAUACGGCCCAGCCCCCUCCGGGAGGCAGAAGGGGGGAAUUUUGCACAAGGGGCGGAACCCUGAUGCACAACCGCCGCGUGCGGGAUGCCGGCUUUCGGUUUGAAACCCCCUUCAGCCUGUACCGAACUUUUAGUGACGGUACUGGGUAAAGAAGCACCGGCUAACUACGUG
This 468-nucleotide ribosomal RNA is filed under the name uncultured bacterium. RNAcentral's name for it is "partial 16S ribosomal RNA". It matches the Rfam family "Bacterial small subunit ribosomal RNA", at positions 28 to 507 of the family's 1533-position model. The record is from RNAcentral.